GACGAACGCUGGCGGCGUGCUUAACACAUGCAAGUCGAACGGAAAGGCCCUGCUUUUGUGGGGUGCUCGAGUGGCGAACGGGUGAGUAACACGUGAGUAACCUGCCCUUGACUUUGGGAUAACUUCAGGAAACUGGGGCUAAUACCGGAUAGGAGCUCCUGCUGCAUGGUGGGGGUUGGAAAGUUUCGGCGGUUGGGGAUGGACUCGCGGCUUAUCAGCUUGUUGGUGGGGUAGUGGCUUACCAAGGCUUUGACGGGUAGCCGGCCUGAGAGGGUGACCGGCCACAUUGGGACUGAGAUACGGCCCAGACUCCUACGGGAGGCAGCAGUGUGGAAUAUUGCAAAGUGGGCGGAAGCCUGAUGCAGCAAAGCCGCGUGCGGGAUGACGGCCUUCGGGUUGUAAACCGCUUUCGCCUGUGACGAAGCGUGAGUGACGGUAAUGGGUAAAGAAGCACCGGCUAACUACGUG
RNAcentral lists this ribosomal RNA (468 nucleotides) under uncultured bacterium. Its description in RNAcentral is "partial 16S ribosomal RNA". It matches the Rfam family "Bacterial small subunit ribosomal RNA", at positions 28 to 507 of the family's 1533-position model. The record is from RNAcentral.